CUAAGAAAUUAAAGCAUGUCAGGUAGAGGGAAAGGUGCAGGAAGGAAGAGGAGACAGCCAUCCCCUACAACAAGGGCUGGGAUGAAGAGGGGACGACAAGACAAUGAUGAAAAUGAAGGAGAAAGCUUGACCCUCUGACAGUCAAGAACGGCCAUCAGGUUUUGGAGCACGAAUGAGGAUGAACAGCUGUUUACUGAUCGUGCCUCUGGAGAAGGGCUGGGUUUUGGAAUAUACAUUGCAGGCAAAUGGGUUGCAGAAAGGUGGCCACAGACAUGGCACACAAAAGGAUACAUCGCUUUCGGGAGCUAGCUCCCACAGCAGAUCAGGAACCAUACAAAAUGCCAACCCAGCUUUGGAAAAUAUUCGAGACAGAGCUAUUAACUUAAUACAAGCUAGCCUUUCAGUCAACACAAAAGGGGCCUAUCAAACAGCGUUGCGCAGCUUUUACAAGUUCAUGCAAGAUUAUUCCAUACCCUCAAUUUGGCCAGUGCCAAUAAAACAUAUCAUUCUUUACAUAUC
Molecule: long non-coding RNA, 519 nt
Organism: Dreissena polymorpha
Lineage: Eukaryota; Metazoa; Mollusca; Bivalvia; Myida; Dreissenidae
Exons: 3
Source: RefSeq, a predicted model, not a curated record